This 66-nucleotide transfer RNA is filed under the name Penion maximus. RNAcentral's name for it is "tRNA-Phe". The record is from RNAcentral. Lineage: Eukaryota; Metazoa; Mollusca; Gastropoda; Neogastropoda; Buccinidae.
CAUUGAUAGCUUAAACAUAGAGCAUAGCACUGAAGAUGCUAAGGUGACAAUCUUUGUCUCAUAGCA